RNAcentral lists this long non-coding RNA (2411 nucleotides) under Sorghum bicolor (sorghum). RNAcentral's name for it is "long non-coding RNA (SBIC_LNC005238)". Lineage: Eukaryota; Viridiplantae; Streptophyta; Magnoliopsida; Poales; Poaceae. The record is from RNAcentral.
AAAUUACUUGCCUAAUGAUAGGCAUUGCGCAUAAAGGGCAAUCAGACUACUUAACAGUUUCGAUGGGUUCAUGCAUGGCCUGGAGCUCUAGUUCUUCUAAAAUACAGGUGCUUAUUGUCUACUGUGUAUUAUAUUUAAUGCAUUAGGCAGAUCCAUCCAUCUUGGUAAUCUUCCUCUCCUUUCUUCUUGUCUACCUGCUUCUUUUUUUUGAAGUUCUUGAUUUGUUGGUAGUUUUCCUCUCACCAAGAGAUUUGUCAAGUUCUGUUCCAGCUCAACCAAACACUAAUAUGCCAGAUAUUGCAACUUAAUUUUCGCUGUUUAGAGUUUUGCUUUUUAUUUGCUGAUGUGUCUGCUAAUUAAAGUUAUUUUUAGCAUUUCACAGGAGCUCAACACACUUUGGUAAAGAAGAACACUAAUCAUGAAUUGAACAAAGAUUUUAUACUCUGCACUUUGUACUAGAUUGGUAUGCAUUCACCUCCAUAACAUAUCUCGCUUUCCUUAAUUUAUUUUUUGUGUUGUUUUGCCCUUGUCCUUUCUGAACUAAACUAAUUUUGAUGGAUGUGACAAAUAUUAGAAUAAUUUACGAUGCUUAGAGCUUAUUUAGUUGCCUUUGUGCCUGGGACAGAAAAAAUAGGAGUUGUAUGCAAGUUCCUUCGUGUAAGUCAUCGAGAGCCCAAGCUUAACAAAUUUGCCAGUUUGUUUUAGUGCUCUUUAUAGUCACUAUUUUAAUUCAAGGAGCUGGGCAUGUAAAACAUUAGACAAAGCUUUUAGGUGUGGAGACAAAUUGGAUCCAAUCGAAGAGGAUAUGGCAUCUCAGAGCAGGUCCCAAGUGGUACAAGAAAAUGGAUAACAUGAGAGAGAGCAAGGUACCCCGGCAGUAAGAUGGUGAUGCCUAUUCAUCUAGUCACUCAAAAUACUUAUUGUUUUGAUAGAUAUGCAUAUCUCAUGUGUUUGGUUUGACAUUUUGAAUUUUCCAUUGCUUUACAACAAAAGAUAAAUUGUACCUAAUUGUUCUAUUUUUUUCAUCCUAUUUACCAGAUCCGUCCAUCCCACCUUGCUUCUCAAAGGUUUGUCAGCUGCUGGAAUUUUUGAAGCUCGGCUCAACCUAAAGUGGUAUGCUUACAUUUCUUCUACCAAUACUCCAGUCUUUUUUCUUGUUUUUUAUCAUUUAUGCAUUAUAAAAGUUACUGAAUAUUUGUGUGCUUAAUUACCUGUAAAUAAGUUUCACAUGUGCUAAGAGAUUGGAGCUUUGAAAUAUCAGGUUUCGUUUAGGAGUUUGGGACUGCCUAUAAUUUUAAUACUCCAGUUUUUUUUUAAAAAGUGACCCCUGGUGGGAAAGGUCAAUAUUAUAUUGAUAAAGAAGUUAGACCCUGAAAACUUCAUAUGGAAAAGCUGCAAGAUUUAUGUAUAUUGCAUAAUGUAUUCAGCCACUACCACCGAAUUAAAAUGGUUUGAAUGUUGUCUCAUAUGUUGAACUUUGUGUUGUAAGAAGCAUUUUAGGAUUCCUCUGAUUACGUUCUAGAUACAAACUGCAACUUUAGGUUUCCUGAAAUAAUAUCUGAAGUUUGCUUCGAUCUAUCAGCUUGUCAAGUUCGUGACCCUGGUGUCAGUAGUCUAUGGGUGAGUUGGCUGAUUUAUGAUAUGUAAGCAGUAGCCUUUGAUGUAGUACAACAGUGCUUAAGGGGCUCAUAGUUUUGGACUUUUUGUAAGCCGAGUAACACAAAUUCAUUUUGCUUAUAGACUAUUGGUUUUUAUUUAGAACUUUCUUGCAUUAUCUUUCUAGCUAUAGCACCACCUACAUAUAAUUACACAAGUACUUUUAUAUUUGCUCCCAUGUCUGUCACAGGGUAACAACAUGUAUGGUGAAAUCCUAGGUCCUGAUGUGAGAACCAACAGUGCACUCAUACAGGGGAUGACAUCUACAUUAUCAGUAGUUCAGAGUUUGAAAUGCAAAAUCGGGUUAUAGACCUGUUGACUCCCGCUAUAUGGUUCAAUUUAUAGGUUGCACACAAUGGUCUCUGCUGUCUCGGUGUGGGACUAUUUCAUGUAAAAUAUAUAAGUAGCAUUUGGACACCCCCUAUGUCUCAUAAUAUAUAUAUAGGGUAUGCACAUCUUGCAGGUAUUAAAAGUUCAGCUUCAGAUUUAGCACGCAUGUUGUCGUGUUGUUCGGCCUAACUGUAGUCUGGGUGGUGGAAACAAAAACCUCCUGUGAUAUUUUCAGUUUGUAUGAAAUAAUUAUUUCAUUCCCAGAUAGAACAUGUCAUAUUCAUUCUUUGUUAAUAUUAUUGAAUUUACCGGAUAGAGGUGUGGCCAUGACUCGCGCGCCCUAAAGCUGUGGCCAUGACUCCGCGCGCAUGGGCACGCGCAAAUCACUAGUAUUUAUUAUGUUGUGAUGUGUUUCUUAUUUGUAG